This is a non-coding RNA of Paramuricea clavata, 1156 nucleotides long. Lineage: Eukaryota; Metazoa; Cnidaria; Anthozoa; Malacalcyonacea; Plexauridae. The record is from the annotation of a GenBank genome assembly.
UAAAAUGACUGAAAAUUAAAAACUUCGCAAAGCUAUAUUAUCCGCAUUUUACAACAUUUUGCAACGAAACUUUGGAAUAUUACUAAUUUUAUGAUGCUCUUUCAAGCUGUGAUGAAAUUUUUGUCUAGACUUGUUCAGUUCAAAAUUUUGGUUAAUUGGGGAACUACAACGGUCCAUUGAGAGGAUUCAACUACCUGAAAAUAGUGAAAAAUACAAGUAAAACUUCGACGUUUUGAGCAAAGAUCCUUCGUAGGAUUCACUAAGGCCAUAAAAAAUAUGUGGGUUUCCUAUUUCUUUAUAUUGUAAAAACUUAGGUAGGGUAGGUCGGUUUUAACUUUUUUAAAACUUUUUUUAAUACUAGUUUCCUAACAAGCGGACGCCAUUUUGUUUAGUCAGUGCUUCCACAUCCAAAGAUAGAUUUCCCGAAUAUUGCCUCAAAUUUCCAUUUGCCUCAACUGUUUUUCUCUAAGUGGAAACACUUACAAGCAUGAUCCAACUAAAAGUUUAGGGUCGGGAUUUCGGCGUCGAAAAGCUAGGUAGGGUCGGGAAACCGGAAACCCACAAAUUUGUUUUUGGCCUAACUUCUCGAAACGUCGAAGUUUUAGUAUUUUCAGGUAGUUGAAUCCCUUUCAAUCCGGCGCAGCUUCAUAAAUUUAUAGGUACAUGGAGUGAAGCAUCUGAAUGGGAGCUUUGUCUUUGAGUUUGCCAGUUGUCAGCCAAUAAAGGGAAAAUACCAAAUACAUGUUAAAUAUAGGUGUAACCCCAUUUGGAUCCAGUUAAAGUAGGUAUAGCUUUUUAAUUAGGUAUAAGGUUCAAAUAUGUUGAGUUUUUUAUGCAAUACUGAAACUGCAUGUAGCCAGUCAAUGUAGGUUUUAAGAUAUUAAUUUGGUUCAGUAAAAUGAAGAACAAUUAUCCAUUUUAUACGACGUUAAACUAAAAGCAAUAAAUAAGAUAAUUUUAUAAAAUUAUGUCAUAGUCGUUGCAUCAUGAUAUUUGUCCUAACCGUCAGGUUGCGUCCGAAGAUGAUCCACAUAACCUGAAGGACUGUCAGUUACCUAAAACUAAAAGCUUGACUAAAUUAAAAGUCCAGUGAAGAAAAGUUUAGUGCACUAAUAAAUAAAGAGUUACAAUCAUUGAGCAUAACAUAAAAGGCAAU